UAAAAUAUAGUGCUUGAAGAAAAUAUUUGGCCGUUAACCAAAAGAAAUUGAUAAUGAUCGAUUAUUUUAU
RNAcentral lists this transfer RNA (70 nucleotides) under Bipalium admarginatum. RNAcentral's name for it is "tRNA-Asn". Lineage: Eukaryota; Metazoa; Platyhelminthes; Tricladida; Geoplanidae. The record is from RNAcentral.